This 367-nucleotide unclassified non-coding RNA is filed under the name Hevea brasiliensis (rubber tree). Lineage: Eukaryota; Viridiplantae; Streptophyta; Magnoliopsida; Malpighiales; Euphorbiaceae. The record is from RNAcentral.
GGCCAACAAGUGAGACUAUAUAAUAUAUGAAAAUGAGAAAGUUCCUUCAACUCAAAAUCUAAUUCAUCGUUUCAAAAAUAUUCCAUCAAAUCUCGAAAUCAACAAGGUAAUAAAUUAGUACUAUAACACUGGGACAUCAAAAAUGACGAGCUGUUAUAACCACAGAAUGAAGAAGAUUCGGACUCUAGCAUAACACUAAACAAUAGCAUUGGCUGCACUUGCGAUUCUAGGCCACAAAUCUGCACACUCCUUUCCGAUUGGACCAGUGAUUGCAGAACCUUUCAUUUCACCUUUAGGGUUCACAAUCACUCCUGCAUUAUCUUCGAAGUACAUGAAAACCCCAUCCUUUCGGCGCCAUGGCUUGCGC